CUAUGGUCACACCACCCCAAUGCACCUGAUCUUGUCUGAUCUUGAAAGCUAAGCAGGGCUGGGCCUGGUUAGUAUCCUGAUGGGAGACAUUUGUAGAACAGUCCACCUAACAGA
This 114-nucleotide ribosomal RNA is filed under the name Castor canadensis (American beaver). The record is from RNAcentral. Lineage: Eukaryota; Metazoa; Chordata; Mammalia; Rodentia; Castoridae.